Molecule: long non-coding RNA, 815 nt
Filed under: Salvia miltiorrhiza (redroot sage)
Lineage: Eukaryota; Viridiplantae; Streptophyta; Magnoliopsida; Lamiales; Lamiaceae
Description: long non-coding RNA (SMIL_LNC006877)
Source: RNAcentral
AAGGAUCGAACUUAAUCUUUGACAGCGAAGGGGACAUUUAUAAUAUAACUUAUGUUUAGCCACAAAGAUUCAAUUAACUAGUAAGUUCGGAUAAAUCCGACUUAAUUCAAAAGACUUAUUACUUAAGAAUACGCAGCGGAAUAACAUAAUCUGAUUACAUGUAUGAAGACAUGUAUCCAAGAGUUCAUUCAUUUAACUUUUGACAAAAGCUCCGCUCUUCACUUCAUCUUCAUCAACCACUGCUCAACCUGCACAUUUAGAAAUAUAUGCAGGGCUGAGUACGAGAGUACUCAGUGGGCACGUAUGCCUAAGUAUAAAAACACAUACUUCAAAACUGUAAAUUGUCAUGCCAUCAUAAACAGUACAGCAAGGGAGUUUUUCGCUAAAAGGCCCAAGCUUACUAAAUUCAUUUGUGAUUCUUAAAGUUCGACUGAUCAGUCUAAGUUCUCUUGUAAUCUAUCAUAUCUGGAACUGUGUGCCGGAGAGGUGGCCACCUCUCACGGUCACUUGACCGGCCAACCCGCUAGAUGACUCACGGUCACUGGUGUACACUAGCCCUGGCAGGAUAGCUAUCAACUGCUCAAGACCCGAAUUCGAUUACAUGAUUAAAGUCACAUCAGAUAGAUAUCAUACUGAAAUUUAAACAUUUUAUGGCAAGACAAUAUUUGAAAUAACUUCAAUUAAUUUAGUCAUGAAAUAACUUGCUUGAACGUAACAUUUAAACUCAUUUGAUAUAUAUGAAAGUAAUGCCCACCUGAUAGAAACUUUCUGUGGUACAUUAGCUCCUUGACUGAUUAUUAAUCUCGUGCUUGACC